Ochotona curzoniae (black-lipped pika) is the source of this 107-nucleotide small nuclear RNA. The record is from RefSeq and is a predicted model, not a curated record. NCBI's taxonomy places the organism in Eukaryota, Metazoa, Chordata, Mammalia, Lagomorpha, Ochotonidae.
AUGCUCGCUUCAGCAGCAUAUAUACUAAAAUUCGAACAAUACAGAGAAGAUUAGUAUAGGCCCUGUGUGAGGAUGAUACACAAAUUCAUCAAGAGAGGCUGAGAGAU